Long non-coding RNA from Pseudophryne corroboree (corroboree frog), 1780 nucleotides. RefSeq lists it as uncharacterized. The record is from RefSeq and is a predicted model, not a curated record. The transcript has 6 exons. NCBI's taxonomy places the organism in Eukaryota, Metazoa, Chordata, Amphibia, Anura, Myobatrachidae.
UGGUAGAGCAACUGUACCUUCAUUUUUUAAUUGUAAUUUUUAACUCACAUUCACUUUAUUUUUAAUCAUCCAUCACCAACAUUCAAGCUUAUUCACAAGCAUUUGUAACAUUGAACCUUGAUCUUUAUUUUUACACUUCAGGUUCUCCCGGCGCAACGGGUCCCGAGGCUUGAUCGGGUUGCCCAGCAACCAUGACGUCACGAACGGAGCGACUUGCUGACGCACCCGGAUGCCGACGGCCCGGGACACCGAGAGACACCGCACGCUGCACACACAGGUAUUUAACAUAGGUCCUCAGACUGCAGUACCAGUGAGCAGCUGCAGCAGCGCCUGGAGCAACACCGCAAUCAGCAGGAGGCUUUGAAGAUGGUGGUAGGCCAGAGCACAACAGAGGGUCAGCAUCGUAGGAGAAUGCAGCAGGAAGGGGAUAGGCAGCUGUGAGUAAUAUAGAGCCAGGAAUAGAAGCUCCACCAGACAGCGGGGCCACAGACAGAGUAACGGCGGCUUAGCAUCUGGGAACGUGGCAGGCCCCAGAGCAGAGCAGAGGAUCAGGGAAGCACACAGAGGCCAGAGCUCAGCAUACAGACAUCAGGUACAGGAUGACUAAGUUAACCAAAGUGGAUCCCCUUGGACUGCAGGACUUCAGAGAGAAAUAAACUGUUUGCAUAUCACUGUCCGGUUGUUAUGGUGAUGGGGACGCGCGUCGCGCCUGUGCGUGAUGAUGUCAUCGAGCGGUGCUGCGGCCGGGGACUCCCGUGGUGACUGGCGGACGAAUGCGCAUUGAUGGCAUCAGACCGCGGCGGCACGGGUGGGACGCCGGCGCAGACGUCACACUCACAUGGUGUUGGUGGGGGAUAUAAGUGCAGCUGCGGGGAAUAUAACACCAAAGGGCACCGAGCAAAGAAGGAAUAAACUGACCCCUGCCUGCAGACACACCCACCAACCAUUGGAACAGAUGUCAUAGUAAGACCUUCUCACUGCUUGUUCUGCUGCAGUCCUGUGAGCCUCCAUCAGUGAGUGUAGAUUUGAUUUAUUUGGUUGAGGAUAGUGCAGUAUUUGAGCAAACACGUCUAGAGACCUCGUGGAAAGAAGAGCCAGUGUGUAAUUGUCUAUAGAACAUGGAUGUAAUAAUGAUGCCAGAGUACCAGGAAGCAUGUUGGCCUCUGAAGAUAAUAUGGGAGCGCAUUAACCAUGCCUACAGUUCAGAUACUCCUCCUAAGGACUGGGGACUUCAAAAAGGGGACUACGGUAUCCAAACCUGGGUCUUCCCAAAUAACAAUGAAAAAUACUCUGUGGUUUGGGAUUCUGGCUGCUCCUAUUGGAAGGUGAACACUCCGUUUGGACCUUGUUUAUAUUUUAUAGGACCACUGUUCAUCAACAAAGAAAGGACGGGUCUAGCUGUACCCCCGUUAUUCAAUGUCAAUGUGUCCGAUAGAGAUACACUGAUGCCGGCCUCGUCUUCAAAAGUGAUAAAGAAGAUGAAAAAAAUGGUGCAUUUUGUGGUUAAGCCUUACAGCAACAAAGCAUCAUGAGAUACAAACUGUAUGUGUUUCCAUAGUGAUUGACGAUAAUCUAUUGUUUUAAGUCACAUUCAAAUGUUUAGUUUAUUGAAAUAAGAUAUUUAAAUGAUCUCCAAGGUGUAGCGAUAUCACAUUUUAGGGGGAGUUUCUAUUUUAGACCCGUUUUGGAAAUGUAAAACACCCUGAUUGUUGUACACUCACUGAGGGGGUGCUGAUUGUGCGCCUUUUUAAAACAAUAAAUGGGGUGGAGAUGUCUUUUA